AGUUCAUGACUUCAUGUGCUAGAUCGCUUUCGCCAGCCAUCCAGCAGCCCUGUUUCGCAACGUUGUUUCGCACUUUAGCAUGGGAAUGAAACACCAUUCAGCGGCUAAACCGCGAAACAAACCAUCUUGAUUCGCACCGCGUUUCGCGUUUUAGUCGCUGUUCGUUUCGCGCUUCGUUUCCGCGUUUUAGGGACACCCGACUAAAAUCAAAAUGACGGUGCAAUUCGGGAAUUUUUUAUUUAUGUUUUAAAUUCACCCUAUUUUGAAAAAUAUCUUUAUAUCAGUAAUAUUGUUAAUAAAUUGACUUUUUUUUUAUUCUUAUGUUAGCAGGAAAAACCUAAAGCUGGAGGAUGAUGCAUAUAUUUCUCAUUACUAGUUUUGUAAACAAAAGGUAAAUUGGUAAAAUGAAACAAUACAAUUGUUUUCACAAAUGGAGAUUUAUUCCACAAUCUUCAGAUUCCCAGGCAGAUACCCCCCCACAAGACCAUGGGUUGAUAGAUGAUAUAAAAGUGUAUAAAUUAAAAUUUAUAUUUUGGGUUUUUGAUCACAGAGUCAGAGAACUAUGUGUGGAAUCUGAUUUUCUAGCCCUGGAAACCCCAGGUGCCUUUCUGCUUAAACAAGGCUAGAAAGCAAUUAUAAUUACAGUAGGUCCUAACGCAGUGUAUGUGUUUGAUGCCCUACUAUACAACCCAGCAAUAUUUAGGCUGCGGUCUUCCAGUGCUAGGAAUUUGUUAUGGCAAGCAAAUAUUUAACAAGGAGUUAGGUGGAGAGAAAAGAUUUUCGCGAUGGGCAAUUCGAGAUACAAGUAGAAACGGAGUGCCCAUUGUUUAAAGACUUAGAGACUCGGCAAAUGGUAUUGCUACCCCAUGGUGACAGCGCAGACAAGGUUGCAGAAGGGUUGCGUUGCGUCGCAAAAUCUUCGCGUCAUAUCAUUUACGCCAUUGCUGAUACUGAACACCGUCUUUACGGAGUCCAGUUCCAUGAUUUGACUGAAAACGGACGAAAAAUGUUGCGCAUAACUUAUUGUUGAACAUGUGUGGAUUGCAAGGAGGUUUCACAUUGGAGAAACGCGAGCAGCAGUGUAUCGAUUACAUCCGGCGUACGGUCGGACGUGAGAAGAUCAUUCUCUUGCUGAUAAGCGGCGAAGUCGAUUCCACCGUUUGUGUUGCCCUUCUCCAUAAAGCACUUCUACAGGGUGACGACUCGUCACGAGUGUAGACCAUCCAUAUCGAUAACGGUUUCCUGCGUAAAGAUGAAUCCGAGCAGGUCGUCACAACUUUACAGCAACUCAGGCUCAAUCAUCGGGUUGUUAAUGCAAGUUUGACUUUCUAUGACGCUUCCACCAACGUGGUCGCCAAACUUUGUCGUUGUGUCGAACUGCUAAUCCGGAAGAAAAGGGUCGAAUUAUUGGCGAUACGUUUAAAACGACCAACGAUUUAAAUGUCACUUGUUAUAAUCUACUUCUCGGACAAGAUAUGAAAAUAUUACAGUUUCUUUGAGACCGGAUUUAAUUGAGUCCGCUUCACAUAUGGCUGCUUCGCGUGCUUAUGCCAUAAAGACUUAUGACGAUUCGAGUGACACGAGCACACGACUUUCUUAUUUCUUAGUCCUUACUCGCAUAGAAAUAUUUAAUGUGGAUUUGGGGGAUGGAGGUUGCGCUUGCUUCGCUUCAAUCAUCAUUUUGUGCGCCAUCAAAUUCUAAACGUUUGGAAAGCACAAAUUUUGAUCCAUAUUUAAAUUGGUAUAAUAAAUGAAGUACCGGCAUCA
Molecule: long non-coding RNA, 1767 nt
Organism: Daphnia magna
Lineage: Eukaryota; Metazoa; Arthropoda; Branchiopoda; Diplostraca; Daphniidae
Exons: 6
Source: RefSeq, a predicted model, not a curated record